GGACCUCUAGCCCAAUUGGAAGAGGCACAGGAUUUAGGUUCCUGUUAGUGCGCGUUCGAAUCGCGCGGGGUCUAC
This 75-nucleotide transfer RNA is filed under the name Mycobacteroides abscessus subsp. bolletii. RNAcentral describes it as "tRNA-Leu(tag)". It matches the Rfam family "tRNA". From Rfam's summary of the family: Transfer RNA (tRNA) molecules are approximately 80 nucleotides in length. The record is from RNAcentral. Lineage: Bacteria; Bacillati; Actinomycetota; Actinomycetes; Mycobacteriales; Mycobacteriaceae.